GUCGAGAAUCUUUCACAAUGGGGGCAACCCUGAUGGAGCGACGCCGCGUGGAGGAUAAGGUCUUCGGAUUGUAAACUCCUGUCAUGCGUGAACAAGGUUGCUUGGUUAAUACCUGGGCAAAUUGAUGGUAACGCAAGAGGAAGAGACGGCUAACUCUGUGCCAGCAGCCGCGGUAAUACAGAGGUCUCAAGCGUUGUUCGGAAUCACUGGGCGUACAGGGUGCGUAGGUGGCGUGGUAAGUCAGAUGUGAAAGCCCGGGGCUCAACCUCGGAACUGCAUCCGAUACUGCCAUGCUAGAGUACUGGAGAGGUGACUAGAAUUCUCGGUGUAGCAGUGAAAUGCGUAGAUAUCGAGAGGAAUACCAAAGGCGUAGGCAGGUCACUGGACAGUUACUGACACUGAGGCACGAAGGCCAGGGGAGCGAACGGGAUUAGAUACCCCUGUAGUCC
RNAcentral lists this ribosomal RNA (449 nucleotides) under uncultured bacterium. Its description in RNAcentral is "partial 16S ribosomal RNA". It matches the Rfam family "Bacterial small subunit ribosomal RNA", at positions 354 to 796 of the family's 1533-position model. The record is from RNAcentral.